GCCGGAUAGGAAUGCUGGUGCAUUCGGCGGAUUCAUGUCCCGCAUCAGGCAGGUUCGAUUCCUGCAUCCGGCA
RNAcentral lists this transfer RNA (73 nucleotides) under Actinomadura algeriensis. RNAcentral's name for it is "tRNA-Met". It matches the Rfam family "tRNA". Rfam says of the family: Transfer RNA (tRNA) molecules are approximately 80 nucleotides in length. Their secondary structure includes four short double-helical elements and three loops (D, anti-codon, and T loops). Further hydrogen bonds mediate the characteristic L-shaped molecular structure. tRNAs have two regions of fundamental functional importance: the anti-codon, which is responsible for specific mRNA codon recognition, and the 3' end, to which the tRNAs corresponding amino acid is attached (by aminoacyl-tRNA synthetases). tRNAs cope with the degeneracy of the genetic code in two manners: having more than one tRNA (with a specific anti-codon) for a particular amino acid; and 'wobble' base-pairing, i.e. permitting non-standard base-pairing at the 3rd anti-codon position. Lineage: Bacteria; Bacillati; Actinomycetota; Actinomycetes; Streptosporangiales; Thermomonosporaceae. The record is from RNAcentral.